GACGAACGCUGGCGGCGUGCUUAACACAUGCAAGUCGAACGGAAAGGCCCUGCUUUUGUGGGGUGCUCGAGUGGCGAACGGGUGAGUAACACGUGAGUAACCUGCCCUUGACUUUGGGAUAACUUCAGGAAACUGGGGCUAAUACCGGAUAGGGGCUCCUGCUGCAUGGUGGGGGUUGGAAAGUUUCGGCGGUUGGGGAUGGACUCGCGGCUUAUCAGCUUGUUGGUGGGGUAGUGGCUUACCAAGGCUUUGACGGGUAGCCGGCCUGAGAGGGUGACCGGCCACAUUGGGACUGAGAUACGGCCCAGACUCCUACGGGAGGCAGCAGUGGGGAAUGUUGCACAAUGGGCGGAAGCCUGAUGCAGCAACGCCGCGUGCGGGAUGACGGCCUUCGGGUUGUAAACCGCUUUCGCCUGUGACGAAGCGUGAGUGACGGUAAUGGGUAAAGAAGCACCGGCUAACUACGUG
Molecule: ribosomal RNA, 468 nt
Filed under: uncultured bacterium
Lineage: Bacteria
Description: partial 16S ribosomal RNA
Rfam family: Bacterial small subunit ribosomal RNA
Source: RNAcentral